UNANCCNUUCCCUUAGUGAACCUGCGGAAGGAUCAUUACCUAGAGUUGCGGGCUUUGCCUGCUAUCUCUUACCCAUGUCUUUUGAGUACCUUCGUUUCCUCGGCGGGUUCGCCCGCCGAUUGGACAAUUUAAACCAUUUGCAGUUGCAAUCAGCGUCUGAAAAAACUUAAUAGUUACAACUUUCAACAACGGAUCUCUUGGUUCUGGCAUCGAUGAAGAACGCAGCGAAAUGCGAUAAGUAGUGUGAAUUGCAGAAUUCAGUGAAUCAUCGAAUCUUUGAACGCACAUUGCGCCCCUUGGUAUUCCAUGGGGCAUGCCUGUUCGAGCGUCAUUUGUACCUUCCAGCCUUCCUGCUUGGUGUUGGGUGUUUGUCUCGCCUCUGCGCGCAGACUCGCCUCAAAACAAUUGGCAGCCGGCGUAUUGAUUUCGGAGCGCAGUACAUCUCGCGCUUUGCACUCAUAACGACGACGUCCAAAAGUACAUUUUUACACUCUUGACCUCGAUCAGGUAGGAUACCCCCGA
RNAcentral lists this ribosomal RNA (522 nucleotides) under Phoma sp. 6 MSB-2011. Its description in RNAcentral is "eukaryotic LSU rRNA". The stretch from base 178 to 331 matches the Rfam family "5.8S ribosomal RNA". Lineage: Eukaryota; Fungi; Ascomycota; Dothideomycetes; Pleosporales; Didymellaceae. The record is from RNAcentral.